Molecule: ribosomal RNA, 368 nt
Filed under: uncultured bacterium
Lineage: Bacteria
Description: bacterial SSU rRNA
Rfam family: Bacterial small subunit ribosomal RNA
Source: RNAcentral
ACGGAGGGUGCAAGCGUUAUCCGGAUUCACUGGGUUUAAAGGGUGCGUAGGUGGGUUGGUAAGUCAGUGGUGAAAUCUCCGAGCUUAACUUGGAAACUGCCAUUGAUACUAUCAGUCUUGAAUAUUGUGGAGGUUAGCGGAAUAUGUCAUGUAGCGGUGAAAUGCUUAGAUAUGACAUAGAACACCAAUUGCGAAGGCAGCUGGCUACACGGUCAUUGACACUGAGGCACGAAAGCGUGGGGAUCAAACAGGAUAGAUACCCUGGUAGUCCACGCCCUAAACGAUGGAUACUCGACAUCAGCGAUACACUGUUGGUGUCUGAGCGAAAGCAUUAAGUAUCCCACCUGGGAAGUACGACCGCAAGGUUG